Molecule: ribosomal RNA, 352 nt
Filed under: uncultured bacterium
Lineage: Bacteria
Description: bacterial SSU rRNA
Rfam family: Bacterial small subunit ribosomal RNA
Source: RNAcentral
AAACAGGGGCAACCCUGUGAGUAAAGUGGCGUACGGGUGAGUAACACGUGACUAACCUACCCUCGAAUGGGGAAUAACCUCGGGAAACCGGGGCUAAUACCGCAUAACACCCCUGGGUGAAAUUCCAAGGGUCAAACGAGCAAUCGGUUUGAGGAGGGGGUCGCGGCUGAUUAGCUAGUUGGUAGGGUAACGGCCUACCAAGGCGACUAUCAGUAGCCGGCCUGAGAGGGCGCACGGCCACACUGGAACUGAAACACGGUCCAGACUCCUACGGGAGGCAGCAGUGGGGAAUUUUGCGCAAUGGGGGAAACCCUGACGCAGCAACGCCGCGUGGAGGAUGAAGUCCCUUGGG